GUAUUACGGUGACAGCACCUUUGCUAAAAUUGGAACAAGGCAGAGAUUAACAUGGCCUCAAUGCAAAGAUGACAUCCAAAUUCAUGAAGUGUUCCUAUUUUUU
Small nuclear RNA from Sarcophilus harrisii (Tasmanian devil), 103 nucleotides. The record is from Ensembl. NCBI's taxonomy places the organism in Eukaryota, Metazoa, Chordata, Mammalia, Dasyuromorphia, Dasyuridae.